This 972-nucleotide ribosomal RNA is filed under the name Escherichia coli. RNAcentral describes it as "partial 23S ribosomal RNA". It matches the Rfam family "Bacterial large subunit ribosomal RNA", at positions 1950 to 2916 of the family's 2925-position model. The record is from RNAcentral. Lineage: Bacteria; Pseudomonadati; Pseudomonadota; Gammaproteobacteria; Enterobacterales; Enterobacteriaceae.
CCUAAGGUAGCGAAAUUCCUUGUCGGGUAAGUUCCGACCUGCACGAAUGGCGUAAUGAUGGCCAGGCUGUCUCCACCCGAGACUCAGUGAAAUUGAACUCGCUGUGAAGAUGCAGUGUACCCGCGGCAAGACGGAAAGACCCCGUGAACCUUUACUAUAGCUUGACACUGAACAUUGAGCCUUGAUGUGUAGGAUAGGUGGGAGGCUUUGAAGUGUGGACGCCAGUCUGCAUGGAGCCGACCUUGAAAUACCACCCUUUAAUGUUUGAUGUUCUAACGUAGGCCCCUUAUCGGGGUUGCGGACAGUGUCUGGUGGGUAGUUUGACUGGGGCGGUCUCCUCCUAAAGAGUAACGGAGGAGCACGAAGGUUGGCUAAUCCUGGUCGGACAUCAGGAGGUUAGUGCAAUGGCAUAAGCCAGCUUGACUGCGAGCGUGACGGCGCGAGCAGGUGCGAAAGCAGGUCAUAGUGAUCCGGUGGUUCUGAAUGGAAGGGCCAUCGCUCAACGGAUAAAAGGUACUCCGGGGAUAACAGGCUGAUACCGCCCAAGAGUUCAUAUCGACGGCGGUGUUUGGCACCUCGAUGUCGGCUCAUCACAUCCUGGGGCUGAAGUAGGUCCCAAGGGUAUGGCUGUUCGCCAUUUAAAGUGGUACGCGAGCUGGGUUUAGAACGUCGUGAGACAGUUCGGUCCCUAUCUGCCGUGGGCGCUGGAGAACUGAGGGGGGCUGCUCCUAGUACGAGAGGACCGGAGUGGACGCAUCACUGGUGUUCGGGUUGUCAUGCCAAUGGCACUGCCCGGUAGCUAAAUGCGGAAGAGAUAAGUGCUGAAAGCAUCUAAGCACGAAACUUGCCCCGAGAUGAGUUCUCCCUGACCCUUUAAGGGUCCUGAAGGAACGUUGAAGACGACGACGUUGAUAGGCCGGGUGUGUAAGCGCAGCGAUGCGUUGAGCUAACCGGUACUAAUGAACCGUGAGG